GCAAGUCGAACGGUAGAGGGGGCAACCCCUCGAGAGUGGCGAACGGCUUAGUAAUAUAUCGGAACGUGCCCAGUCGUGGGGGAUAACGUAGCGAAAGUUACGCUAAUACCGCAUACGAUCUACGGAUGAAAGCGGGGGAUCGCAAGACCUCGCGCGAUUGGAGCGGCCGAUAUCAGAUUAGGUAGUUGGUGGGGUAGAGGCUCACCAAGCCAACGAUCUGUAGCUGGUCUGAGAGGACGACCAGCCACACUGGAACUGAGACACGGUCCAGACUCCUACGGGAGGCGGCAGUGGGGAAUUUUGGACAAUGGACGCAAGUCUGAUCCAGCCAUUCCGCGUGCAGGAUGAAGGCCCUCGGGUUGUAAACUGCUUUUGUACGGAACGAAAAGGUCUCUCUUAAUACGGGGGGCUCAUGACGGUACCGUAAGAAUAAGCACCGGCUAACUACGUGCCAGCAGCCGCGGUAAUACGUAGGGUGCAAGCGUUAAUCGGAAUUACUGGGCGUAAAGCGUGCGCAGGCGGUUAUGUAAGACAGAGGUGAAAUCCCCGGGCUCAACCUGGGAACUGCCUUUGUGACUGCAUAGCUAGAGUACGGUAGAGGGGGAUGGAAUUCCGCGUGUAGCAGUGAAAUGCGUAGAUAUGUGGAGGAAUACCAAUGGCGAAGGCAGCCCCCUGGGAUAACACUGACGCUCAUGCACGAAAGCGUGGGGAGCAAACAGGAUUAGAUACCCUGGUAGUC
RNAcentral lists this ribosomal RNA (739 nucleotides) under uncultured Burkholderiales bacterium. RNAcentral describes it as "bacterial SSU rRNA". It matches the Rfam family "Bacterial small subunit ribosomal RNA", at positions 57 to 795 of the family's 1533-position model. Lineage: Bacteria; Pseudomonadati; Pseudomonadota; Betaproteobacteria; Burkholderiales. The record is from RNAcentral.